ACCUGUGCAGCCUGUUUUCUUCCUGUGUUCUAUUAACUAGGAUAUGAGGUAGAAAUAUGUCACAAUCAUGGGAAACAUACAAAACUUGAUGACUGAAAUGUGCUUGUCUGUGAAGUGCCACCUAUGCCUUCAAAGUGAUAAAGAUCCAGACUGAGUUGAAAAGAAUGAUAAAGACAGAGCUGAGAGGGCCACAGUUUUAGUGACAGCCUCAGCUGUGACAAAGGAGAGAAAACAGAAAGACCUGGGAAAGUGCAAGGAUGAAGCAAUUAAGUUUGAGAAAUGUGAUGUGAGGUUUAGGAAAGGUGGAUUUUAGCCCCAGCAGACUUUUAGCUGGACACGGACCUAAUACCUUGAGACUUCAUUGUUCCCAUUAAAGAAAAAAUUAUCUUCUGACUUUCUAGGGGUUUGGGGGUCCCAGAUAUCAAAAGAUUUAAACCACUUAGGAGGUUUCCAUUGGAAGGAGAAGACUGUCUUUAGCCCACUGCAUCCCCUCAAGCCAUCCCAAGCUUUCUCUGUGCCAGGGACUGGACGCACGCUAAAAUACGAACCUGUGUGGACUUCUUUCUUAGGAGCCUUUGCACCAGCACAAGAAAGAGACAGAGACAGUGAUGGCGAGACUCAAGCACGCAUAUCUUGAUGGACUCCAAAAUGCUCUUCCUAAUUCCUUCUCUGUGGCUCAUUCUUCAUCCUCUAUUUGCAUUGAGUCCAUUCAAAGGACAUCCCAACAUCAUCAGUUAACCAAGUGUGUGUUCCACCCCAGGGAAGGACAGCGUAGGGCCGAGAGGAAUCACGGCUGAAUGGUCUGAGAUCCCGACCUGCAGAAGUAACUGGCCACUUCAGGGAAGAGAUGACUAAGAGCACUUAGAAUUUAUCCAGCUCUCAAGGCGACUUCACCAAGGAACAACCACAGUGUUGUUUUUUCACAGAAACACCAAACUUGGAAAUAAACCCUUCC
RNAcentral lists this long non-coding RNA (955 nucleotides) under Homo sapiens (human). Its description in RNAcentral is "HSALNT0338111". The record is from RNAcentral. Lineage: Eukaryota; Metazoa; Chordata; Mammalia; Primates; Hominidae.